RNAcentral lists this long non-coding RNA (354 nucleotides) under Gossypium raimondii (Peruvian cotton). RNAcentral describes it as "long non-coding RNA (GRAI_LNC005158)". The record is from RNAcentral. Lineage: Eukaryota; Viridiplantae; Streptophyta; Magnoliopsida; Malvales; Malvaceae.
AAAUUUAGGAUAAUCGGGAAACAUAGAUAAAGAUCUGAAGCGUAGAAAUUAAAGGAAAGGAGACAAGGUAUUCUCACUGGUAGUAGAGGCGCAGGCGGCGGUGCUAGAAGUUCAAAUAUGUGAAAGUGAUGACAUUUUUCGUUCCUGAUAAAAUGAAGAGCAAAAACGUAGGAGAAGAUGGAGCUGAGGGCAGAAAUCGGUUUUAAGUUCUCAAACGUAAGAAGGAAAAAUCAAUGAAGAAAAGAAGUAAAAAGAUUACCUCUGCAAUCAAUGGAAGGGAAACGUCGGAGAGGAUGAAGCUUGAUGAGGGCAGAAAAAGAUUACCUCCCUUCCCGCUACUGUUUCUCAGUCGCU